CUAAUUUCUGAGCAAAAAAAAAAAAAAAAACAAAAGAAAUAAAAAUCUGUUCUUAUCAGUUUAAUAUCUGAUACGUCCCCUAUCAGGGGACCAUAUAUUAAAUUGAUUUUUGGAAUCUGGAGAUGGAACAGGGGCUUGCUCCGUCCACUCCACGCAUCGGCCCGGUAUUGCAGUGCCUCCGGGAACGGUGCACACCUU
This is a small nuclear RNA of Polyodon spathula (Mississippi paddlefish), 198 nucleotides long. RefSeq annotates it as U2 spliceosomal RNA. NCBI's taxonomy places the organism in Eukaryota, Metazoa, Chordata, Actinopteri, Acipenseriformes, Polyodontidae. The record is from RefSeq and is a predicted model, not a curated record. The transcript has a single exon.